Artibeus jamaicensis (Jamaican fruit-eating bat) is the source of this 129-nucleotide small nucleolar RNA. RefSeq annotates it as small nucleolar RNA SNORA51. The record is from RefSeq and is a predicted model, not a curated record. Lineage: Eukaryota; Metazoa; Chordata; Mammalia; Chiroptera; Phyllostomidae. The transcript has a single exon.
GGCCUCUUGGCACUUAUCACAGGCUGUGUUCUUACACCGCCUAUACAGAAAGGAGGCGGAGUAAACCCACCCCAUAUACACCUCAGCCCAGGCCUUGUGCCUGGUCUAUAUUGUGAGUGGGGGAUAUGG